This is a non-coding RNA of Colinus virginianus (northern bobwhite), 92 nucleotides long. Lineage: Eukaryota; Metazoa; Chordata; Aves; Galliformes; Odontophoridae. The record is from Rfam.
UGUAACAGGUAAAGGCUUGCACCGAGAGGACAAUGGCAUGUAUAGGCGUAAUGUGAGGAUUUCGGGGUGUCCGCGGUUAGAGUCCUCUCAGG